This is a long non-coding RNA of Physeter macrocephalus (sperm whale), 1541 nucleotides long. RefSeq lists it as uncharacterized. The transcript has 3 exons. The record is from RefSeq and is a predicted model, not a curated record. NCBI's taxonomy places the organism in Eukaryota, Metazoa, Chordata, Mammalia, Artiodactyla, Physeteridae.
UGAAACGGGCUUCUGGACCCACAGGCAAAGUUGUCCUAUAACCAUUCUGUAAAAAGACAUUUCUACCCAGCGAAUGGCCGGAGGCACUUUUGAGCUAGUGCCUGCUCAAAAGCACACGAGAGCGACUCCUGCCCCAGUAACAGCCGCGAGUGGCUACUCCGAUGGAAGUUCGGCCACAUUUACAUCCGUCUGGACCCGAACGAACGUACUCCUCGCGAUCGGCCUGCGGUGGCAGCGACGUUCCCAAAACUUGCUGCACUCCGUCCCCUCCGCGGAGCGACCGCACAGACUAGUGCUCUUGGCGCUGGGCAGUGCGGGGCCCGGCUGGGGGAGGGGAGGGGAAGCGGUCGGAGUACUUCCUAAUAUAUCAUUAAAACACGAAAGCAGAGGUUUGGGAGCGAGAAAAGUUAAAGGAGCGACCGGCUGACAAAGAAAAGCAGCUCCGGCUGCGUCCGUUUCCUGCUCCCCCGCCCAACCGGGCCGGGGGACCACCUGGCCGCGGCGUUUUGACAGCUCGGAGAGCGUCCCGGAGCCGAGCGCCUGGGAGCCGAGCGGGAGCCCGUCCGGCGACUACCCAGCUGUACUCCGGGCUCGUCUACUAAACGACCCGGCGAGGCCCAGGGGCAUCGACGAGAAAUUUCUCCAAAAAGAGAAGCCCCGGAACACACGGCGCCGAGGCCAAACUAAAAAGGGAGUGAAAAACAUGGAUUUGAAUUGGGAAAAACUAUUACGACCCAUCAACCAUUUGCAAAAGGAUUGGGGUAAACUAUCAUCUUACACGCUUAGACUCUAGGCCGGACACCCCGGGCACUUUCUGAUUAUGAUUUCUUUCCAUCUUCACAACAGUUCUGGUGUAAGCUCUCUUUAGACUUCACCUCACCCUGACCACCGUUCUUCCCAUGAUGAAGGUUGUGUGUCCCUCUGGAUGCUUCUACACCACCUGUGCUUUCCCCAUCACAGCUCUCAUGCCCUGUAAUGAACUGCCCACUUAACCGUCUGUAUCCCAGCCUAAGCCCACUGGAGACGACACUAGCUGUCUGCCUUAUUCACCUUCUAUCCGUAUUACUCAGCAGUGGCUCCACAGAGUUGUUGAAUAAGUGAAAUAAAUGGGAAAGUGUAUGUUACUUUCAAGAAAAAGAGCUAAGAUGAUCCCUUACAGGAGUCUACUUGAAAAAAGAAACUGUAACUUUAUAGACAAGGUAUACAUGAAUACUUUGCUACAUUUUGUGUUGUUAUAGUUUACUUUUCUAUAAGGGAACAGGCAAGUCCUCUUUGCCCCCUACAACCAACGUUUGUUAUGUGACACUCCUCUCAGUAUUACUGGCUUUCAGAAGCCUGGACAUGGAGGAUCACGCCUUUUCUAAUGGAGUCUCUAAAAUCAAGAGGUCAAACUAGUUGUCCACGGGGAAUUCCCUGGCGGUCCAGUGGUUAGGACUGUGCACUUCCACUGCAGGGGGCACAGGUUUGAUCCCUGGUCGGUGAACUAAGAUCCUGCAUGCCGCAAGGCUCAGCCAAAAAAAAAAAAAAAAAGUUGUCCACGG